AGAGUUUGAUCAUGGCUCAGGAUGAACGCUAGCUACAGGCUUAACACAUGCAAGUCGAGGGGUAGCAGGGUAGCAAUACCGCUGACGACCGGCGCACGGGUGAGUAACACGUAUCCAACCUUCCCAUAACUCAGGGAUAGCCUUUCGAAAGAAAGAUUAAUACCCGAUAGUACUUUUUCAAGGCAUCUUGAGAAAGUUAAAGAUUUAUUGGUUAUGGAUGGGGAUGCGUUCCAUUAGAUAGUUGGUGAGGUAACGGCUCACCAAGUCUUCGAUGGAUAGGGGUUCUGAGAGGAAGGUCCCCCACAUUGGUACUGAGACACGGACCAAACUCCUACGGGAGGCAGCAGUGAGGAAUAUUGGUCAAUGGGCGAGAGCCUGAACCAGCCAAGUAGCGUGAAGGAUGAAAGGUCCUAUGGAUUGUAAACUUCUUUUAUAGUAGAAUAAAGUGAUCCACGUGUGGAUUUUUGUAUGUAUACUAUGAAUAAGGAUCGGCUAACUCCGUGCCAGCAGCUGC
RNAcentral lists this ribosomal RNA (514 nucleotides) under uncultured bacterium. RNAcentral describes it as "bacterial SSU rRNA". It matches the Rfam family "Bacterial small subunit ribosomal RNA", at positions 8 to 518 of the family's 1533-position model. The record is from RNAcentral.